GAGGAAGGCGGGGGGCGUGCUUAACACAUGCAAGUCGAACGGAAAGGCCCAAGCUUGCUUGGGUACUCGAGUGGCGAACGGGUGAGUAACACGUGGGUGAUCUGCCCUGCACUUCGGGAUAAGCCUGGGAAACUGGGUCUAAUACCGGAUAGGACGAUGGUUUGGAUGCCAUUGUGGAAAGUUUUUUCGGUGUGGGAUGAGCUCGCGGCCUAUCAGCUUGUUGGUGGGGUAAUGGCCUACCAAGGCGUCGACGGGUAGCCGGCCUGAGAGGGUGUACGGCCACAUUGGGACUGAGAUACGGCCCAGACUCCUACGGGAGGCAGCAGUGGGGAAUAUUGCACAAUGGGCGCAAGCCUGAUGCAGCGACGCCGCGUGGGGGAUGACGGCCUUCGGGUUGUAAACUCCUUUCGCUAGGGACGAAGCGUUUUUGUGACGGUACCUGGAGAAGAAGCACCGGCUAACUACGUG
This 468-nucleotide ribosomal RNA is filed under the name uncultured bacterium. RNAcentral describes it as "partial 16S ribosomal RNA". It matches the Rfam family "Bacterial small subunit ribosomal RNA", at positions 31 to 507 of the family's 1533-position model. The record is from RNAcentral.